RNAcentral lists this small RNA (492 nucleotides) under Pongo abelii (Sumatran orangutan). RNAcentral describes it as "processed transcript". Lineage: Eukaryota; Metazoa; Chordata; Mammalia; Primates; Hominidae. The record is from RNAcentral.
UGAGUGUCCUGCUAUCCAGGGAGCCAGGGGGUCUCAUCCCACCAUCCUGGACAUUCCUAACCAGCUCUAUUACGAAGGGGAGCUGCAGGCCUGUGCUGAUGUCGUGGAUCGAGAACGCUUCUGCCGCUGGGCAGGCCUACCUCGACAGGGCUUUCCCAUCAUCUUUCACGGCGUAAUGGGCAAAGAUGAGCGUGAAGGCAACAGCCCAUCCUUCUUCAACCCUGAAGAGGCUGCCACAGUGACUUCUUACCUGAAGCUGCUCCUGGCCCCCUCCUCCAAGAAGGGCAAAGCCCGCCUGAGCCCUCGAAGCGUGGGAGUCAUCUCCCCGUACCGGAAACAGGUGGAGAAAAUCCGUUACUGCAUCACCAAACUUGACAGGGAGCUUCGAGGACUGGAUGACAUCAAGGACUUGAAGGUGGGUUCAGUGGAAGAAUUCCAAGGCCAAGAACGAAGCGUCAUCCUCAUCUCCACCGUGCGAAGCAGUCAGAGCUU